UGAACGCUGGCGGCAUGCCUUACACAUGCAAGUCGAACGGCAGCGCGGACUUCGGUCUGGCGGCGAGUGGCGAACGGGUGAGUAAUACAUCGGAACGUACCCUGUUGUGGGGGAUAACUAGUCGAAAGAUUAGCUAAUACCGCAUACGACCUGAGGGUGAAAGUGGGGGACCGCAAGGCCUCACGCAGCAGGAGCGGCCGAUGUCUGAUUAGCUAGUUGGUGGGGUAAAGGCCCACCAAGGCGACGAUCAGUAGCUGGUCUGAGAGGACGAUCAGCCACACUGGGACUGAGACACGGCCCAGACUCCUACGGGAGGCAGCAGUGGGGAAUUUUGGACAAUGGGGCAACCCUGAUCCAGCAAUGCCGCGUGUGUGAAG
Molecule: ribosomal RNA, 377 nt
Filed under: uncultured bacterium
Lineage: Bacteria
Description: bacterial SSU rRNA
Rfam family: Bacterial small subunit ribosomal RNA
Source: RNAcentral